GACGAACGCUGGCGGCGUGCUUAACACAUGCAAGUCGAACGGAAAGGCCCUGCUUUUGUGGGGUGCUCGAGUGGCGAACGGGUGAGUAACACGUGAGUAACCUGCCCUUGACUUUGGGAUAACUUCAGGAAACUGGGGCUAAUACCGGAUAGGAGCUCCUGCUGCAUUGUGGGGGUUGGAAAGUUUCGGCGGUUGGGGAUGGACUCGCGGCUUAUCAGCUUGUUGGUGGGGUAGUGGCUUACCAAGGCUUUGACGGGUAGCCGGCCUGAGAGGGUGACCGGGCACAUUGGGACUGAGAUACGGCCCAGACGCCUACGGGAGGCAGCAGUGGGGAAUAUUGCACAAUGGGCGGAAGCCUGAUGCAGCAACGCCGCGUGCGGGAUGACGGCCUUCGGGUUGUAAACCGCUGUCGCCUGUGACGAAGCGUGAGUGACGGUAAUGGGUAAAGAAGCACCGGCUAACUACGUG
This 468-nucleotide ribosomal RNA is filed under the name uncultured bacterium. RNAcentral describes it as "partial 16S ribosomal RNA". It matches the Rfam family "Bacterial small subunit ribosomal RNA", at positions 28 to 507 of the family's 1533-position model. The record is from RNAcentral.